UAAGAACGGCCAUGCACCACCACCCACAGAAUCAAGAAAGAGCUAUCAAUCUGUCAAUCCUUACUAUGUCUGGACCUGGUGAGUUUCCCCGUGUUGAGUCAAAUUAAGCCGCAGGCUCCACUCCUGGUGGUGCCCUUCCGUCAAUUCCUUUAAGUUUCAGUCUUGCGACCAUACUCCCCCUGGAACUCAAAGACUUUGAUUUCUCAAAAAAUACCGAAGGAAUCAACAGGCAACCGCCUCCAAUUUCUUGGUAGCAUAGUUUAUGGUUAAGACUAGGACGGUAUCUAAUCGUCUUCGAUCCCCUAACUUUCGUUCUUGAUUAAAGAAGACAUCCUUGGCAAAUGCAUUCGCAUUAGUUUGUCUUUAACAAAUCCAAGAAUUUCACCUCUGACAGUUAAAUACAAAUGCCCCCAACCAUCCCCAUCAA
Molecule: ribosomal RNA, 427 nt
Filed under: uncultured dinoflagellate
Lineage: Eukaryota; Dinophyceae
Description: partial 18S rRNA
Source: RNAcentral